RNAcentral lists this unclassified non-coding RNA (646 nucleotides) under uncultured Prochlorococcus sp. RNAcentral's name for it is "partial 16S-23S ribosomal RNA intergenic spacer; may also contain 16S ribosomal RNA and 23S ribosomal RNA". The stretch from base 304 to 376 matches the Rfam family "tRNA". The record is from RNAcentral. Lineage: Bacteria; Bacillati; Cyanobacteriota; Cyanophyceae; Synechococcales; Prochlorococcaceae.
UUGUGGAGGAGGACGCCGAAGGUGGGGCUAAUGACUGGGGUGAAGUCGUAACAAGGUAGCCGUACCGGAAGGUGCGGCUGGAUCACCUCCUGACAGGGAGACAACAAAAUGUUAAAUAUUAAUUUUGUCACCUUAGGUCGAUCGGUAUCUCACAUUCUUGAUUAUUUAAGGAUUUUAUUUCCUAAGUUUUUUCUAGGUCACACCCAUUACUUUUCCUGGGCCAUUAGCUCAGGUGGUUAGAGCGCACCCCUGAUAAGGGUGAGGUCCCUGGUUCAAGUCCAGGAUGGCCCAUAUCUCUAUGUUGGGGGUAUAGCUCAGUUGGUAGAGCGCCUGCUUUGCAAGCAGGAUGUCAGCGGUUCAAGUCCGCUUACCUCCACUGAUCACCACCUCUUCAUAAUUUAUAGAAGGGAAUUGUUUUGAGUUAUGAUCAAAUUCUGAACGAAUCUAGCUUCCUAAUUGAAUCUAUUAAGAUGCUGGACUCAUUGAAUUAAUUUCAUUGUUUUCAGAGAACCUUGACAACUGCAUAGAUUAUUUUAAAGACAAUAAGCAUCUUUAAUGAUGCAGAUUUAUUAUUUGUGCGAAUGCAUUAAAUAACAAUUCUAUUAAGCUGAUGCUUCAAUUUUUGAAGUUAUUGGUCAAGCUACAA